This is a long non-coding RNA of Pan troglodytes (chimpanzee), 911 nucleotides long. RefSeq lists it as uncharacterized. The record is from RefSeq and is a predicted model, not a curated record. The transcript is spliced from 3 exons. NCBI's taxonomy places the organism in Eukaryota, Metazoa, Chordata, Mammalia, Primates, Hominidae.
UUGUGCUAAUGGGAAGAUGUGCUGACUGGGUGGUGCUUCCCUCUCUGAUUUAGAGGAAAUACAUUGUCUGCUUUGACCCACUGGAUAAAUCUUCCAAUAUCGACUGCCUGGCCUCCACUGGAACCAUCUUUGCCGUCUACAGAAAGGUCUGCCCUCCCAUGACUCACCUGUGUGAGAAAAUCAUCUCCAUGCUGCCUUCCUGGUGGAACCUCAAUGGACCCAACCAGCUGAUGUCACUGCAGCAGUUUGUGUGCGAAGUGCAGGACCAGCUGAACCCUCUGGUCAUCCAGGGGUACCCCGGGUGCAUUGCUCAGCAGCUCCACCGUGCAGGCGAGGUUAUAAAGAAGCCUUGAAUCCUCCUCCACGAUACCCGCUCCACUAUUUGUUAGCACAGCUAUGAUGCUGCUCACAGAUUGUUUUCACUCCUAAAGACAGUGGCGCAAGGCAAGGUGACCUGGAGCCAGGCCAUCCUGAGUGUCCACCCAGCUUCCCAGGAUCCUGUUGGAAUUUGGAAGGACAUUUCACCUGUCUGUAUAGAGCCUUGUUUUUUGUUGAAAGCCAGGGGCUCAAAACUUGUGUUUUGGAAGUUUAACUCUGAACGUUUGACUCUUUUACUUUCCAUUUAUCCUUUAAUAAUCCUAACAGUUCCCAAGAUGAAGGCUACUUCUGGCUGAAUCAAGGACAGGUUACCAAUAAGAAAGUCAACAAGAAAUGAACAUUAUUAUUAUCCUCAUUCCAGUUACAAUUAAGGGGCUAGGGAGAGGAGAGUGGGGAGUUAGUGCUGAAUGGGUUAGGAGUUUCAGUUUUGGUUGAAGAGAAAGUUCUGGAGAUGGAAGGUGGUGAUGGUGGCACAGCAAUGGGAAUGAGCUUCAUGCCACUGAAUUGUACUCUCAAAAAUGGUUAAAAUGGUC